AUCACUCUUCUUCCAACCAAAAUCAACUACCAAAAGUACAAUCAACCCAAUGGAAGGUACUACCUGGACUGCAUAUGCUGCAGUAUUUCUUGCUACUCUGUUUCUUUUGCUUCUCUCCAAAUUUCUUCGCCAGAGGAAACUCAACUUACCUCCAGGCCCAAAACCAUGGCCGAUCAUCGGAAAUUUAAACCUUAUUGGCAGCCUUGCUCACCGAUCCAUCCACGAUCUUUCCGUCAAGUACGGACCCAUUAUGCAACUACAAUUCGGGUCUUUUCCCGUCGUAGUUGGCUCCUCUGUAGAAAUGGCCAAAAUUUUCCUCAAAACCAUGGAUAUCAACUUUGUCGGAAGGCCUAAAACCGCUGCCGGAAAGUACACUACUUAUAACUAUUCAGAUAUUACAUGGUCCCCGUACGGAUCCUAUUGGCGUCAGGCACGUAGAAUGUGCCUGAUGGAAUUGUUCAGUGCAAAACGGCUCGAUUCAUACGAGUAUAUUCGGGAUCAGGAACUUCAUUCUAUUCUUCAUAAUUUGAACAAAUUAUCGGGGAAACCGAUUCUGCUGAAAGAUUAUUUGACGACUCUGAGUUUAAAUGUUAUUAGCAGAAUGGUAUUGGGGAAAAGUUACUUGGACGUAUCCGAAAACUCGAUUGUGACUCCUGAUGAAUUUAAAAAGAUGUUGGAUGAAUUGUUCUUACUUAAUGGAGUCCUCAAUAUUGGAGAUUCAAUUCCAUGGCUUGAUUUCAUGGACUUGCAAGGUUAUGUUAAGAGGAUGAAAGUUGUAAGCAAGAAAUUCGACAAAUUUCUCGAGCAUGUACUUGAUGAGCAUAACGUGAGAAGGAACGCAGUGGAAAACUACGUUGCUAAGGACAUGGUGGAUAUUCUAUUGCAGCUUGCUGAUGAUCCAACUCUGGAUGUUAAGCUAGAGAGACAUGGAGUCAAAGCAUUCACUCAGGUAUUCACUUUAUUUUUAUAUAAAACUCAAAAAAAUAAUUGGAGUAACGUUUGUAUAAGAUAAAAAGGUGCAUAGCUAUGGGUAAUUUUCUCAUUAACCUUGCACUGAAUGAAUCCCUACUGCUCUGCUCCACUUGGGGUGAAUUCCUUCACUCUAUUGUUAUGGAUGGAGACGAGAUAUUGUGGAAAUUUUUGAUGGACCCAAAAUUUGGUUAUCACUUUUCAACAAGAAAAUGAAUAUACUCGUAAUAAUUGAACUGUAUCAAUGAUAGUGUUAUAGAAAUGAUAUCACACCCACUUUCUGUCUAAGUAAAACGCACAAUUUAAGGUGGUCCAUUUGUAGCUAUUUUAGAAAUAGAAAGUGACUACUAAAAGAAUAUUAAUAAAUUUUGUAGCUAAAUAACAAAAUACGACUCUAAUUCUAUUUAGCACCACAUUAUAAGAAAAACUGUUAGCUAUUAACUAUGUAGCAAUAGAUUAGCGAGAAAGUUCAUAGCUAGUUAGGUUAUUUGUAUUUGUUUCUUAUGGUUGAUUAAAGUUGAUGACACGAGUAAAAUGUGUAUGGUACAAUCAGGACUUGUUGGCUGGUGGAACUGAGAGUUCAGCAGUGACAGUAGAAUGGGCAAUUUCAGAGUUGUUGAAGAAGCCAGAGAUUUUCAAAAAAGCUACGGAGGAAUUAGAUCGAGUAAUAGGCCAAAACAGAUGGGUACAAGAAAAAGACAUCCCGAAUCUUCCUUACAUAGAGGCAAUUGCAAAAGAGACUAUGCGUCUGCACCCAGUGGCACCAAUGUUGGUGCCACGUGAGUGUCGGGAAGACUGCAAGGUAGCUGGAUACGACGUUCAAAAAGGAACCAGGGUCCUCGUGAGUGUGUGGACUAUCGGAAGGGAUCCAACAUUGUGGGACGAGCCUGAGGCUUUCAAGCCCGAGAGGUUCCUCGACAAGUCCAUCGAUGUCAAAGGACAUGAUUUUGAGCUUUUGCCAUUUGGAGCUGGGAGAAGGAUGUGCCCUGGAUACAGCUUGGGUCUUAAGGUGAUUCAAGCUAGUUUAGCUAAUCUUCUACAUGGAUUUAAUUGGUCAUUGCCUGAUAAUAUGACUCCUGAGGAACUCAACAUGGAGGAAGUUUUUGGGCUCUCAACACCCAAAAAGUUCCCACUUUCUGCUGUGAUUGAGCCAAGGCUUUCAUCAAAACUUUACUCUGUUUGAUUCAGCACCUACUAUGGUUCCAUCAAAACAGAGUUUCUUUAUCCAAAUACUUAGCUAAAUAAACUUCACAUGUCUCCUUGCACCCACUAGCUAUAGCCCUAAUACUCUACUUUUUUUCCACUUUUGCCCCUCAAGUCACCUGAGGUCCCCAGGAUUUGCUUAUAUGUUUGUAUCACUCAGGAUGUGCUAAUCAAGGUUAAGAAAAAUGAAUCAAUUUCAAUAUUUCUGUGCUGUAAGAAUGUUUCUUAUAUAUGAUUUUGAAAAAUUUCACAUCAUGAGUUAGCUCUUUUAUUUUAGUUUGUGAGAAAGUCAGUCAUACUACUUUAGUUAAUUAUGAUGAAAUGGAAUAUGGAUUUUUGUUGAAGUCAUUCUUCUAUCGUUCUAGUUGUUAGUGAAGCGACUGUCUGAUAUCCCAUCGUGUAAAUAGCACUGCCGUCAUAUCCUCAACUAGAACAAAGGAAAUAAGAACGAUUAUCAGCAUGGUCCCUAUUAUCAUAGCCUUGUUAAAUAUUUUAGAUAUUAGACUAAAAAUAGACUCCUCUUAUAAGUAAACAGCUUAAUAUAAAAUUCUAACUAAUCCAGCAUAUCAACAGCAGCAGAGGCAAGAUUUUAGCGUCUGCACUACAAAUGUUCAAUCUUGAACAUGAGGGGUGUUAGAAUAUCUUACAUUGGUUGAGAGAAAGGAUGUUUGUCUCCUUACAGGAUAUCGGUCUAGACUCACCUCAUAAAUUAGCUUUUGAAGUUAAGUUAGGUUACAAGUUAAAUUUUGUUAAUAAAUAAUGAUGUCUUACUAAUAAGUCAUCACAGUGAUGCUAAUCUAGAGUCAUACCUGCAAAAUACUACUCAAACACAAUGUUGCAAAGGAAUUUCUCCAAGGUGGCUGGGGAUUGGGGAAAUACUUUCUUGGUUUUGGGUCUUCCACUUAUCAAAUAUCCAAGUGACCCACUACUAGCUGUGAUCAGCUUACCCGGGCCUUGACAAUUUAAUCAGAUAUAUGUAACCUACCACUAGCAUAGAUACCGAAUAACUUCUGUCAUCCACUAGUUCAUAUUAAGUGAAUUGUUAAGAUUUUCAAAAUAAGUGAUUAUUCAAAGUUCAAUAGAAUUGUUGAGGCUGUUUUUUUUAAUAUAUAUUUAUUCUUCAUUAAUUCUUAAUUCCUUUUAUAUAUUUCACAAAGAAUAGUUUGAGAAUAAAAAAAAAUAAUCAUGGAAAGUACUAGAAUAUUUUUUUUAAUGAAUGUGUUAUACCCAAACAAUAAUAGCAAAGACAGUCCAGAAGAAAGAAGUACGUAUUUGUCUUGUGGUGUUGUGGAUAGGUCACAAUCAGUUGUGAAUUAGGAAAGAAAAUCACUUCAUUAAUUGAGCUAUCAAGAUUUCAAGUGUAUUAACUUCCUUAAGAAUCUAUAUUCACUAUUUUUCUUUUUUCAGUGUCUCUGGGUGUUUGGAUGGUAGUUAGGGCACUCCACUGUGUGGUGACACUUGAAAGAGUUGUUAAGGGUCCAAAGCUAUGAACUUGUACUACUUUAUUAUUCGUUGUAAUAGUCUAAUGUGAAAUCGAAUUAACUUACAAAUUUUAGAAUAUGUAACAAGUGUUCAUUUUAGGGAUUAAAGCAAAGAGUCACUAGUCAAAGUCGAGGUAAACGUCAGGUCAAUGCUUUACAAAAUUUGGCGGAAGGUGUGAAAAUUAUAAUUGAUAUUUUGGAGGUACAAAAAAUAUCUUAGGUAUUUAAUAGAAUUUUCUAGAAUUUUGUAGAAUAAUAUCUUUGGUAUUUGUACUUAAGAAAAAUAUAGAUAGUCUAGAGUAUCAGAUAUUUAAGGAAGAUAUUUGUAGGAAAGAUUAGAAUAACUAGAUUCUUAAUAUAUAGAAUCAUCCUUGCCCAAGUAUAAACAGGGAUGGCCUUAGUCAUUUGUAAUCAACUCAAGAACAACUCAAAUCAAAUAGUUUUCUUCUAUAAUAAAGUUCUUUUAUCCAAAAAUACUCAUUCUCCUUUCUUGCUUUCUCCUCUUUGGUUGAAUCUUUCGAUCUUAGUUAACGAUCUUAAGCUAGCAGAAGGGUUCUGUGAUUAUACUUUUCUUCUGCUGCUAUUCUCUAUAGAAGAUGCAUCACGUACCAAAUUGGAAGACUUAACCUUUUUGUACACGAAAUUUCUAAUUUAAAGUGAAAUGCACAAACUUACAACUUGUAUUCUCUUAUAAGAUCACUUCACUCUUUUAACAGAUUUAUUUCUGUCUGAAUAUAAAUUAAUCGUAUAACUAAAUUUUAAAUAACAAAUGUUACCAAAAAAUAAAUAAACCAUUCGUCGCCGUUUUUCCCUUCUGAUUCAUUUGUGAUUUUUCCCACACCAACAUAAAGUAUGUACUUAUUAAAUUCUAGUUGAUUAACACACUGUUGAAGGUAGGGAGGAAAUAAGAAAAAGUUUCUUGGAAAACCAAAGGCAACUGAAACAAAGUUUCCAGGAAAUUAUUACACUUUUUUUUCUCUACGGUUCACUCCCACCCGGUGUUCGAUAUCUAUAUUGAAACCAGACUAAAUUCAAAUUAGUGCUAAGAAAGUUUUCAUUGAGGUAAAACGCUUUCUAACAAAGGCGACUCUGUACCAAGAAGAUUCAAACUCAGGAUCUCUGUAAGGAUGAAGCAAUAGUUAUUAUCACUCCACCACAAAUUUUGUUGGUACUCUCUCUAUUAAAGUGACAGAAAAAUGUUCAACAACCUAUAAAAAAAAUAGUAGUCUCACUGUCCCAAUAUAUGUGUAACAUAAAUUGAUACACAUCAAUUAUUCAUGCAAGUAAUAGUAUUAGACCAUCUCACCAUCACCAUAAAUACAGCUUUGGUGAAGCCAUAAACUACACACUCCAAACAAUUAACACUUGCAAUCACUGUCAGUCCUCUUCCACUACAAAAGGUAGUACAAACAACAUAAUGGAAGGUACUACUUGGACUGCAGUAUUUCUUGCUACUCUGUUUCUUUUGCUUCUCUCCAAAUAUCUUCUCCAGAGGAAACUCAACUUACCUCCGGGACCAAAACCAUGGCCAAUCAUCGGAAAUUUAACCUUAUUGGCAGCCUUCCUCACCGAUCCAUCCACGAACUCUCCCUCAAAUACGGACCCAUUAUGCAACUACAAUUCGGGUCUUUUCCCGUCGCAGUUGGCUCCUCCGUCGAGAUGGCCAAAGUAUUCCUUAAAACCAUG
Molecule: long non-coding RNA, 5339 nt
Filed under: Solanum tuberosum (potato)
Lineage: Eukaryota; Viridiplantae; Streptophyta; Magnoliopsida; Solanales; Solanaceae
Description: long non-coding RNA (STUB_LNC004251)
Source: RNAcentral